GACUUACAUCUCUUCGGAGCAUUUUACGAGGUGCUGCAUGGUUGUCGUCAGCUCGUGCCGUGAGGUGUCGGUUAAGUCCCAUAACGAGCGCAACCCUACCUUUAGUUGCCAUCAGGUUAAGCUGGGACGUCUAAAGGAACUGCCUACGCAAGUAGUGAGGAAGGCGGGGAUGACGUCAAAUCAGCACGGCCCUUACGUCCAGGGCUACACACGUGCUACAAUGGCCGAUGCAGAGGGCAGCUACCUGGUGACAGGAUGCAAAUCUCCAAAGUCGGUCUCAGUUCGGAUCGGAGUCUGCAACCCGACUCCGUGAAGUUGGAUUCGCUAGUAAUCGCGCAUCAGCCAUGGCGCGGUGAAUACGUUCCCGGGCCUU
This 373-nucleotide ribosomal RNA is filed under the name uncultured Sphingobacteriales bacterium. RNAcentral describes it as "bacterial SSU rRNA". It matches the Rfam family "Bacterial small subunit ribosomal RNA", at positions 1007 to 1382 of the family's 1533-position model. The record is from RNAcentral. Lineage: Bacteria; Pseudomonadati; Bacteroidota; Sphingobacteriia; Sphingobacteriales.